AAGAAGUGGCAGAAGUGCACCAAGGUGAACUGAUGGAGCUUGGGGCUGGUCACACUUGACUGGAGGCUUCCCUCAUUCUUCACUAAGCAGUGACUUGUAAAAAACCGCCUGUAGCCUGCCUGCUACUGCGAGACUGUGGGAAGUAAAGCUAUUGUAUCUAAAGGAUGAAAGUGUGUUGCUCACUUCAAUCAGAAGUUACCCCUAUGAUAUCAGGCACUAUAGGUGAUUUGAAAGCAGGAAAAGAUGCCAUCAAGACCUUGCUGAGGCUAGGAUAAAAGGCAUACUGUUAGCAUGUGAUAACUGACAUCUGCAAACUAACGUGUCUGAUAAGCAGAGAGAGGCUCACAGCUUUACAUAGGAGCUAAGCUGUUUGAGUUCAAACUGAGCUGUCCCCACACAGUCUAACAUGAGCAGCUUAACCCAGGCCAAAGUCCAUCUCGUCUUUCCUUACCACCCUCCUCUGACACCAGUUAAGUAAGGGUGUGAGCUAGCUCACAGAAUCCAGUCUUGCGCCUUUAAGCCUCCGAGCUGGAAGAAGAGAUGCUGUUACUCAUUUGGACAAAGUGCAUUUUUGCAAGAGAUGAGCUCCUUGUGAAGUCCUAGCAGAAGACAGAUAGCAUCACCUUAAGCCUAGUUCAAACAAGAUUCAAGUUCGUUCUUCCCUGCUUAUUCAGAUCUCCUUUUUUUGUUAAGCUGAACCAAAUUCUAACUACUGGGCCAUGUGGUCUUUGAGCAUUAGAUGCUAUAGAGUACCAUGUUUUACCUGUCACGGAAUUUCCCGAGCUGCAAUUGCUAAUAACAGAUGUCUGUUUUAUUGGAGCUCCUAAAUUGUGGAGACUUGUAUCCUGUUCUUAGAAACAGAUCCUGCUAAUGCUUUUUCAGAACCUUCUGAUUUGGCUUAACUGAAUCAAGAAACCUCCAAAGAUGAGGUCAGGACAUCCUGAGUUGUGUUGUUGGUGGGAACUCAGUCUCUCAUGCUGGCUGAAACGUGGGUGGUUAUUUGAUGGUAGAGGAAAUAAGCUCCUUGUUCAUAGCUUCAUCCAUCCCAGAUGCUGCCUUAAAAUUCGGGAUGAUGAAGGAAAGAUGCAGUGGUGUGACAUUAAUGGAUCUUGACUGCAGAAGAAAACUGACUUAAUGGCACUGCUGUUUGCAGUUAGCAUCUGCAUAAAAGAAAGAGCUGGUGUCUGACAGCUGUUAGAGGGUGGGAAAAUUAGACAUGUGUGGUGGUGUCUUUAUCAUUCAAGAGAUAACACGUGUAAUGUUUCCGUUGCUCUGAUUCACUGUUAUUUCAAUUCCAGGAAUCGCAUCCUUGCCUGAAAUCGGAUGGAUCUCUGCCUAGACAGCUUUACGGCUGCCCCAAAGAGGUAUUGGUGUCUACUGUUUAACAAAUGCCUCGGCUAACCCAUGUGAGGCCACCUGAUGGCAGCUUUUAGCAUACAAGGAAGAGUUUGCCUCUUUGUUACACUUCUAGAUCCCUGUAGUGCCUGUAAGACUGUGCUAAGCUGUGAAAAAUGUACUGUACUUUGUCACUAAGUUUAUUUCCUCCUGUAGUUAACCAGCCAUUCGUAGUUUAUUUUCUGUCACCUGUUCCAAAAUCAACCUAUUGAUACCACUGGGGUCAAGCUGAAAACCAAAGCUGCCUUAACAUUUACCUGUGGACAUCACCCAGGGUGAGAACAUACUUCCCAGAGGGCAGCCAGACCCCAUAUCUCUUGAUUAGGUGCAAGUCCAUCCCCACCACGGUCUGGGUUGGGAUAGGGCAUGGCCAAAGGGAGAUCUGCUUCCCACUUCCUCCCACAUCCAAUGAGGAAUUUCUGGGAGAUGUGGAGGCAGUGCCUGCAUGGAGGAGAGCCUGAGGAUUUGGACACUCAUGUCUGUAAAUGCAGGUAAGCAGGACUUUGUUUGUUCUGGGGAAAAAAAGUAAGGAGUGCUGACAACUGGGGAACUGAGACUUUCUCAGUGACUGCAUCAAUAAUAUGUAUUUCCUAUUUCCCUGACAGAACUGGCCUCUAGCAAAUUAGAGAUAAAAUGCCAGAAGAACAAUAAGUUACCUUUGGACAAGUACACGUCUUGGGUAACUAAAUAAAAUAAGGUUUUCAGUAAUGUACAACUCAGCCUUCCAUUUCAGCAACUUAUUGCUAGUAAUCCCUCUUGCAUCGGCAGCAGUAUUACUGCAUACAGCGAAGAGAACUCAUCUAUCACCAUAUUUUCUUGGGAGCUCCUGGCAUAUAAAGUGCCACAUUGAAAGAAUCUAGUGUAAGUGCACAAAGUUGUCCCUUUUUCCCCAGGAGGUGAAUCACUGGCUAUUUCAAUCUGUCUUUUGCAAGUCAUGGCAUGUGUGUCAUCCCUCCUUUAUUUCAUUUGGCUGAAGUCACAGGCUAAGUGACUUUUCACAAGGUAAAAGGAAUGCAAGGCCCAGCCCAAGGGCCAUUGAGAUCGGCUGCAGCUCUCCCAUUGGCUUCAGUGAGCUUUGCAACUGGAGCACGCUUCUAUUCACUAGACAGGCUAAUUGUUCCCCUGAUUCUGGCUAACUUAGUAGCAGCGUCCCAUGGUAUAUCUACAUUGGAAUCACUGUUGUGACUGCUGCAGCUUUUGGCAUACUUGAGUGAGUUUUAAAUUGGUGUAGCUGCCGAAGGCUGGAAGUUGAUGUGGGCUGGAAAACCUGUGCAAGAACCCGAGUGAUUUUUGGAAAAAUUUUUGUUCCAGGUUAAAUUAGCAAAAUUAGUUCUGAAUCUUCUCGACUGAACCAACUCAGUCGUUCAAAAAGCCAUCUGUGGUGCUAUGACUGGCUUCAAACUCCCAAAUCCACUGGCGGGCAUCCUAUGUGCAGGCCCAAGCCCAGAGGCUUGGGGUUUGGAUGCCUCCGAGUCUCAUUUGCUCUUAGCCAGUGGUCACAGGAGUGAGGAGUCCCCCACUUGCAUGAAGUAGGCGUGUAGCCGAGAUCCUCUCACUGGAAGCUGGCCACUGGGAAACUAAUUACAAGACUCAUAAUGUGUCCAGUCUGCAGUGCAUUGGACAGGGGUGCAUCCUUCACUACACAGUGCCGUAGGAGUAGGUUAGCCAAACACUUGGAUAAGAAGUAAAUGCUUGGGUUGGCCCAUGCUCAGCUCCAUGCUACUGCAGCUGCACUUAGGGUGGCCCCUGACACAUCCCCAGAAUACAGGACACCACUUGGUAAGGGGCAGGACCACUGGCUCCCUUGGCCAAUCAGUGGUUAGGGUCAGGACUGCUGCUACCUUGGCCAUUCAGUAGUGAGAUGUGGGGCCACCAGGCCCCUUGGACAAUCAGCAGUGAGGGGCAGGGCCACUAUACAGCAGCCACCUCCCUCCUUCCCUGGCUGGCUGGGACCUUUGCUGUGCACAGCCAGGAGGAGCACUACCUCUAGGCAUAGCCAAUAGAAUCGUGAGGGCAAAUGCUUGACAUGUAUUUCCACCAAUGAUCUGAAAAACGGGACUUUUUGCAGUCUUUUCCUCAUUCAGAAAUGGACAAGGGAAUGAAGGGGUUAAAAAAAAAAAAAAGGGUGGUCCAGUAUAAAACUCGACCAAUGACCACUAUUGCACUGCUAUUGCACUUGAGGUGGUGUUCAAAGACCAUGUAAAGCCAGUUCCCUCAGUUCCAUGGUGGGUGGGAUGUUUCAUAAUGAUCCCAAUUGACUUUCAUCCCACCCACUUCAAUCUUAUUCCUUUGGAUCUGGAGUUCAUAUUUUAUUUGUCUUCUGUUUGAACCAUUCCUCUAGCAUCUUGGGAGCUUUCUUGUUACUGUUUUGGUUCGGCAAGUCCCAGACUUCCUGUGCAUCAGGGCAAUGCCUUGCGACCCACAACUGGACAAAACAAGUUCACAUACUCCAGGGCUCCUGUACAUGAGCAUGGAGGCUGCUGCGAUUCACUGGAAUUCCAGCACAUCGGAGCAGACUCGGUAGUGGAGCAUAGUAGUGGAGUGAACCUAAGUCUCAGUCUGAGUUCCAGGCUGGUGCCUAAAUCAACAGAGCAUGAUUUCAUCUAUGGGUACAACCAAGCUGAAAGCUGCAGAACAUCCCACUCAGAAUCACGUGCAAAAGAAAAUAAAGGAGCAGCAAGAUUCCUUUGAAAAGCAUAAUGGGUUCUUCCGCUCUAAACAGGACGAAAAAGGCAACUUUCCAAAUAUCUUCUUUUCUUGGCUCUGCUGUAGGCAAUUACUAAAACCCUUUGAAGCACUAACAAUAGAAAUGUUCCAGUCUCCAACCAGAAGAAAUCCUAAAUGAUAUGUAUUAUGGAUCACCGUACUUAAUCACGAUCAUUUGCAAGACUAGCUGGAUGCAUGGCAGAUGUUAGUUUGAUACAACCAUGACUGGCUGGCGCGGAAAAAUGCGAUAGCAGCAGCAUUACUUUCUGCACUAUGUUCAGUCCUUUCACUCCUGAAUUUUGUUGUUGUUUUCCUCCCAAAUUUUUCUUUACAAUAUUUUGGAUAUUUUGCAUUUAGCAUCGAUACAAGCUCUACACAGGAGUUCAGCAUGGACCUGGCUUGCUUUAAGUCAUGGUUAACAUGGACAGCAAUGAUCAUAGGCAUUCUCCUCCAUGUCUGCUUCAUUGUGCAGAGUUUUUCAUUGUGCUGCAUUGAUGUUUUGCAUUGUGACUUUCCAGUCAUCUUAUUCUGUCCUUCUCCCAUUCCACUGAAAUGCUUAUGGAACCAUCAUAAAAAGCUUUAUUAGCCUGGAACAAAUGCCUGAAACGGAUUAUAUAAUCCACAAAGCCAGUGGGGUUGCCUGGAGUUUGAAGUAGGCUGAAAUUUGGUCCUGAGAAUGAUUUAAUGGUGAAAGACCUGAGAUUUAAGUUAUGUUCCCAGCUGCAACACCAGCAUUUGCUUUGGACUCUAAGGAAGUUUCUGAACCUUUCAAGGCCUCACCUGUAGAAAGGACGGAAAGAAUAUGUAGUUUGGUGGGGGGUCCAAUGCUUAAAUCAGUGUUUUUUCAGAGAACUUUGAUAUCUGUGGAUAAAUGGAACUGAAUACAAAAUAUUAUUAUUUUAUUUUGGCUGGACAAAGUGCAUCAGGACUGUUGAUUGCAAAGGAGCCCCUUCCCAUUCCCCAAUUGUAUACAGUCUGAAGGAGGCAGAGCUUGGCAGACACUGGUUCUUACAGUUUAUUUUCAAACUUUCUUCAUGUUUUUCUUCUUGCAGUUACAGACAUUCAGAAACAAAGGGGAUCAUGUUGUUAUAGAUCACUCCAACAGUUAUGAACCCACUGGAGUUUUUAGGACCCUCCGUUCUGAUGCUUUCACUGACUGUGAGCCUGCCAAUUAAGGAUUGAGAUAUAGGCCAUUUUUACUUAGUUUUAUGUUCCUCAUUUAAUGAUGUUGACACCAGUGGCCUCUAGUUUUAUGAAGAAAUAAAAUCACACAUUACAGCUCUUCAAACAGGACAGAAAAAACCUUCCGAAAACAUUAAAAACUAAAAAAAGUUCCCCAAGCAACUUGCUCAGUCCUAUUCCAAAGGCAGUGCAGGUUUUAUAACUUUUUGAGUAAUAACCCAAGUCUGUCUUUUCACAAGCACUGUUACUCGUAAGAAGGAGGAAUAAGGCAUUAUAGAUGAUUCAGGUGCUGCAUGCUCUAAAGGGAGAACGUUAUAUGAAAACAGGAAAACUUAAUCCAACAGCAUGAAAAAUGACCUCCUAUCCUAAACUUCGGUAAUUUCUUUAUUUGGCAGUGCAUCCCUUGAUUUUAAUCUGGAAUAAUUACCCAUGAGCAUGAAAAACCUCUCUUUUCAUAGAAGUAAAGUAGUAACAUCAAUAAA
Alligator mississippiensis (American alligator) is the source of this 5765-nucleotide long non-coding RNA. RefSeq lists it as uncharacterized. The record is from RefSeq and is a predicted model, not a curated record. The transcript has 2 exons. NCBI's taxonomy places the organism in Eukaryota, Metazoa, Chordata, Crocodylia, Alligatoridae.